Molecule: transfer RNA, 70 nt
Filed under: Emberiza rutila (Chestnut bunting)
Lineage: Eukaryota; Metazoa; Chordata; Aves; Passeriformes; Fringillidae
Description: tRNA-Lys
Source: RNAcentral
CAUUAAGAAGCUAUGAACCAGCAUUAGCCUUUUAAGCUAAAGAAAGAGGGACCCCCCCCCCUCUUAAUGA